GCCCCUGUGGCGGAACUGGUAGACGCGACAGACUCAAAAUCUGUUGUCCUUUCGGACGUACCUGUUCGAUUCAGGUCAGGGGCACCA
This 87-nucleotide transfer RNA is filed under the name Alphaproteobacteria bacterium. RNAcentral's name for it is "tRNA-Leu". It matches the Rfam family "tRNA". Rfam says of the family: Transfer RNA (tRNA) molecules are approximately 80 nucleotides in length. Their secondary structure includes four short double-helical elements and three loops (D, anti-codon, and T loops). Lineage: Bacteria; Pseudomonadati; Pseudomonadota; Alphaproteobacteria. The record is from RNAcentral.